Molecule: long non-coding RNA, 322 nt
Organism: Solanum stenotomum
Lineage: Eukaryota; Viridiplantae; Streptophyta; Magnoliopsida; Solanales; Solanaceae
Exons: 3
Source: RefSeq, a predicted model, not a curated record
CUAGCCCCCAAUUGCAUAGCCAUCCUUCACUUAAAAAUCGUACUCAUAAAUUAUUUAUUGAGUUACUUUAGGAUAAGAAUCAGACGAUUUGCGUCGAUCACAGACCCUAAUCGUCCAUUAAUGAUUUUCGUCUACCGGUGGUGGAAUCGUUCAUCGAUUCAUUCAGUACCAAUCACUGCUCCACACAAGGGACAAUUGCUCAAGGACUGUGAAGAUACUGUGUAUAUUUUACUUUUUCUUGGUCAUAUGUAAAUAUAUAAAUGUACAAUAUUAGAAGUAUAUCUUUAAUUUUCUGUGGCAGAACUAUUAUAAUAUUUAAUUU